UGGGGAAUAUUGGACAAUGGGCGCAAGCCUGAUCCAGCCAUGCCGCGUGGGUGAAGAAGGCCUUCGGGUUGUAAAGCCCUUUUGUCCGGAAAGAAAAGCUUCGGGUUAAUACCCCGGGGUCCUGACGGUACCGGAAGAAUAAGCACCGGCUAACUUCGUGCCAGCAGCCGCGGUAAUACGAAGGGUGCAAGCGUUACUCGGAAUUACUGGGCGUAAAGCGUGCGUAGGUGGUUUGUUAAGUCUGAUGUGAAAGCCCUGGGCUCAACCUGGGAAUUGCAUUGGAUACUGGCAGGCUAGAGUGCGGUAGAGGGUAGUGGAAUUCCCGGUGUAGCAGUGAAAUGCGUAGAGAUCGGGAGGAACACCAGUGGCGAAGGCGACUACCUGGACCAGCACUGACACUGAGGCACGAAAGCGUGGGGAGCAAACA
Molecule: ribosomal RNA, 427 nt
Filed under: uncultured Lysobacter sp.
Lineage: Bacteria; Pseudomonadati; Pseudomonadota; Gammaproteobacteria; Lysobacterales; Lysobacteraceae
Also listed under: 1 other name
Description: bacterial SSU rRNA
Rfam family: Bacterial small subunit ribosomal RNA
Source: RNAcentral